This 972-nucleotide ribosomal RNA is filed under the name uncultured bacterium. RNAcentral describes it as "bacterial SSU rRNA". It matches the Rfam family "Bacterial small subunit ribosomal RNA", at positions 9 to 974 of the family's 1533-position model. The record is from RNAcentral.
GAGUUUGAUCAUGGCUCAGAACGAACGCUGGCGGCGUGGAUAAGACAUGCAAGUCGAACGGAGAUCUUGAAUAGCUUGCUAAUUGAGAUCUUAGUGGCGGACGGGUUAGUAACACGUGAGAACCUACCCUUUAGACAGGAAUAGCCCAUGGAAACGUGGAUUAAUGCCUGAUAGUCUCUACGGAGUAAAUGGUGCCUUCUGGUAUCGCUAGAGGAUGGGCUCGCGGCCUAUCAGCUUGUUGGUGAGGUAAAGGCUCACCAAGGCGACGACGGGUAGCUGGUCUGAGAGGACGAUCAGCAACACUGGAACUGAGACACGGUCCAGACACCUACGGGUGGCAGCAGUCGAGAAUCAUUCACAAUGGAGGCAACUCUGAUGGUGCAACGCCGCGUGGAGGAUGACGGUCCUAGGAUUGUAAACUCCUGUCAUUGGGGAGUAAGACUUAAGCGUUAAGAGCGUUUAAGUUUGAUAGUACCCAAAGAGGAAGGGACGGCUAACUUCGUGCCAGCAGCCGCGGUAAUACGAAGGUCCCAAGCGUUGUUCGGAAUCACUGGGCGUAAAGCGUGUGUAGGCUGCGCGGAAAGUCAAAUGUGGAAGCCCGGGGCUCAACCUCGGAACUGCAUUCGAUACUCCCGUGCUAGAGUAAUGGAGAGGUAAGUGGAAUUCCUGGUGUAGCAGUGAAAUGCGUGGAUAUCAGGAGGAACAUCAAUGGCGAAGGCAACUUACUGGACAUUUACUGACGCUCAGACACGAAGGCUAGGGUAGCGAAAGGGAUUAGAUACCCCUGUAGUCCUAGCAGUAAACGGUGCUCGCUUGGUGUGGGAGGAUUCGACCCCUUCUGUGCCCGGAGCUAACGCGUUAAGCGAGCCGCCUGGGAAGUACGGUCGCAAGACUAAAACUCAAGAAAUUGACGGGGACCCGCACAAGCGGUGGAGUAUGUGGCUUAAUUCGAUGCAACGCGAAGAACCUUUA